UACAGAGGUGGCAAGCGUUGUUCGGAAUUACUGGGCGUAAAGGGCGCGUAGGCGGCUUGGUCAGUCCCGUGUGAAAUCCCUCGGCUCAACUGAGGAACUGCACGGGAAACUGCCUGGCUUGAGUUCGGGAGAGGGAAGCGGAAUUCCGGGUGUAGCGGUGAAAUGCGUAGAUAUCCGGAGGAACACCGGUGGCGAAGGCGGCUUCCUGGACCGACACUGACGCUGAGGAGCGAAAGCGUGGGGAGCAAACAGG
Molecule: ribosomal RNA, 253 nt
Filed under: uncultured bacterium
Lineage: Bacteria
Description: partial 16S ribosomal RNA
Rfam family: Bacterial small subunit ribosomal RNA
Source: RNAcentral